RNAcentral lists this unclassified non-coding RNA (202 nucleotides) under Hevea brasiliensis (rubber tree). The record is from RNAcentral. Lineage: Eukaryota; Viridiplantae; Streptophyta; Magnoliopsida; Malpighiales; Euphorbiaceae.
CGACAACCUGUCGCUGAUGGCGCUGACGAUUUCGGUCGGAUUCGUGGUCGAUGACGCGAUCGUCAUGCUCGAGAACAUCAGCCGCUAUAUCGAACAGGGUGAAGACCCGUUUGCGGCCGCCCUGAAAGGCGCCAGCGAAAUCGGAUUUACGAUCGUUUCGAUCAGCAUCUCGCUGGUCGCGGUGCUGAUACCCCUGCUCCUG